UGAGUAACCUGCCCUUAACUCUGGGAUAAGCCUGGGAAACUGGGUCUAAUACCGGAUAUGACUCCUCAUCGCAUGGUGGGGGGUGGAAAGCUUUUUGUGGUUUUGGAUGGACUCGCGGCCUAUCAGCUUGUUGGUGAGGUAACGGCUCACCAAGGCGACGACGGGUAGCUGGUCUGAGAGGAUGGCCAGCCACAUUGGGACUGAGACACGGCCCAGACCUCCGUACGGGAGCAG
Molecule: ribosomal RNA, 234 nt
Filed under: uncultured bacterium
Lineage: Bacteria
Description: partial 16S ribosomal RNA
Rfam family: Bacterial small subunit ribosomal RNA
Source: RNAcentral